RNAcentral lists this ribosomal RNA (417 nucleotides) under Mesomyzostoma reichenspergeri. Its description in RNAcentral is "partial 16S ribosomal RNA". The record is from RNAcentral. Lineage: Eukaryota; Metazoa; Annelida; Myzostomida; Myzostomatidae.
UCUGCUCAAUGUAUUUUUUAUAAAUAGCUACAUAAUUGUACCAAGGUAGCAUAAUAAUUUGUCUUCUAAUUAAAGAAUUGUAUGAAUGAAUUUACAAAAAAUUAACUGUCUCUUUAUAAUAAAUAUAAUUUAAUCUAUUAGUGAAAAAGCUUAUAUUAAAUAAAUAGACAAGAAGACCCUGUUGAGCUUUUUCUAGAAAUUCAUAUAUAGAUUUUGUUGGGGCAACAUUUAAUAUUUAAAUCAUUUUUUAACUAUAAGAAUAAAAUCAUUAAAUUUAACUUAUUUUAUAAAAAAUUAAUAAGUUACCACAGGGAUAACAGACUAAUUUUCUUUUAGAGCUCAAAUUAACAAGAAAGAUUGGUACCUCGAUGUUGGCUUAGGAUUUCAAAUAAUUGUAACAAAUUAAUUUGUUGGUUU